CAGUAGCCGCGGUAAUACGAAGGGGGCUAGCGUUGUUCGGAUUUACUGGGCGUAAAGCGCACGUAGGCGGUUUGUUAAGUCAGGGGUGAAAUCCCGGAGCUCAACUCCGGAACUGCCUUUGAUACUGGCAAGCUAGAGUCCGGAAGAGGUAAGUGGAACUCCUAGUGUAGAGGUGGAAUUCGUAGAUAUUAGGAAGAACACCAGUGGCGAAGGCGGCUUACUGGUCCGGAACUGACGCUGAGGUGCGAAAGCGUGGGGAGCAAACAGGAUUAGAUACCCCGGUAGUCCCUGUCUCUUAUAC
Molecule: ribosomal RNA, 301 nt
Filed under: uncultured bacterium
Lineage: Bacteria
Description: partial 16S ribosomal RNA
Rfam family: Bacterial small subunit ribosomal RNA
Source: RNAcentral